CUUUAAUGGCAAGGCAAUGGCUUUCCAUGCUGGUGCUCUCAUUCCAGAGAUGGCUGUCUGAAUAUGAUCCCCAAGUCCAGGGAGCUGAAUGAUUCACUUCUCCCACUAACCGGAGAUGAGAUUUUGGUUGAAGGUGAGUGAGGUGAACUACCAAAUCUACUUGGUCUAUUUUCCUUUGCUUUCUUGAUAAUAGCGUAACAUUUAUAACUGCCUAUUAUGUGCUAGGCAUGCAUUAGGAACCAGACAUAAUUUAUUCACAUUUAAUACAACAACCUUAAGAAGUUUAUAAAGCUAUCAUAUUUUUAGAGGUCACUAAUUUAGCAAAUGACAACGUUGUGAGAGAUCCUAAAUCUAAUGGCCUCAGAUUUCUUCUAUAUUAUAUUCCAGGGCCUGUGAGUAAUUAUUUAACUACCUUCUAGUAGUUAAUUACCUAGUUAAAUAGUUAAUACUUAAAUAAAUACUUAAAUACCUAGUUAAAUAGUUAAUAGUUACAUACCUAGAGGUAUUGUUAUUCAUAUUAAAAGGCACACAUUUUUAAAAGCCUAUUAAGGCAUAUUCUUCUAUUUUUAGUGGGACUCUAUUAUUUAAACCACUACUGAGUUAGAGUUGGUUUUAGGCAAAACAGGACUAUGGACUUUUCUGGAUUUCUUUCUGUCAGACUUUUUUUUAAUUUUUUUUUUAAUUUUUUUUUCAACGUUUAUUUAUUUUUGGGACAGAGAGAGACAGAGCAUGAACGGGGGAGGGGCAGAGAGAGAGGGAGACACAGAAUCAGAAACAGGCUCCAGGUUCUGAGCCAUCAGCCCAGAGCCUGACGCGGGGCUCGAACUCCCGGACCGCGAGAUCGUGACCUGGCUGAAGUCGGACGCUUAACCGACUGCGCCACCCAGGCGCCCCCAGACUUUUUUUUUAAAGAAUGUUUUUUUAAUGUUCAUUUAAUUUUGACAGAGAGAGACAGAAUGUGAGCAGGGAGAGGCAGAGACAGAGAGAGACAGAAUCUGAAGCAGGCUCCAGGCUCUGAGCCAUCAGCACAGAACCCUAUGCGGAUAUCGAACCCAUGAACCGAAACAUCAUGACCUGAGCUGAACUUGGAUGCUUAACCAACUCUUUCUGCUGGAUUUUAAUAACAAUAUAUAUUUUUAUGGUUCUACAGGCUCCAAAGAACAUCAAAGCUAUAAAGUUGCAUUAUCUCUAUGACCUUCUUGGAAUUUAGGUAGCAAUUCAAUCCUCAUUUUAUAGAUUUGAAAAUCCAAAAAUUUAACUUGCCCCAAAUUCUAAAAGUCAUUUUAAAAAAGGAAUUAAAUAAAAGACCUCUAAUUCUCAAGGCUAUCCCCUUUCUUUUAUAUUUUAUUGCUUUUAUUCCACUCCCCAAUCCCUUUUUCUCUUUAAUUUCAGGUGACCAGUAUGCUCAAAUGGCUCCUGACUCUCCAGAGUAUUUAUACAAGGAUACUUUAGUACCUGCAGAUGACAGUGAGGGUCAUAGGUUAAGCCAGUUUUCUAUGAAAUCCCCUGACUCAUUCAAAGGUCUUUUCCCUGAGGCUCAUCUUCUCAAGAUAUUUUUUUUUUUUCAGAUUGUUCUUACUUUUCACCUGAAAGCUCAUGUGCCAUUAUAAGUUUUGAACACUGAGAAACAGGCACCUAGUUUCAUCUACUAUCCACCAUUCACCCGUUGUUUUUGUUUUUGUUUUUUGUUGUUUUUUUUUUUAGGGGGGGGCGCAUUUUCACUUUAUCUCUGACUAAUUCCCACUGUAAAGCAGAAUGACGUGUAGGCAAUGGCCACAAUAACUUAAAAGUUAACAAAAAUCUCAGUAAGUUUAAAAUCCCCAAUAUGUUGAGGGAAUAAUAGUAUACGUUUGAAAUAGCACACAAGAAGUAAUGAAACACAAAAAAGGAACAUGCAUCAAGGCCUGAUGACAUAAAAAGUAGCCAGUAAUUGGAAAGAAUACAUAUACAAUUAUUAAAAUAAAAAGUAUGCACAAUAGCUACAGUAACAGCUAGCCUAGGCAUAGUUAAAGAGUGUAUUUGUAAACUGGAAAACAGUUUAUGAUCCAUUGUCUAUCUAUGUUGAUUACAGAACAAGAAAAUACUAGAUGACGAGUCUUAAUAAAAGGCAAAACUUCGGAGUCUACCAGAACAUCUUUUUCUUAGUAGGAUCUUCUCUUGUAUGUUGAGCAUGUAGACAAGUCCAUAUGCUAUUUUACGGUUUUGCAACCUUCAUUUGGUUAUUAAAACAUUUUUAGUCAGAACUGCUAAUUUCGAAUGCAAGGCAGAAUCCAACCCCAGAAUUUCCCCCAUUCUUGAUGAUAACACAGUGGUUCUGAAAAUAAACCUUCUCUUUUUUACUGGCCUUUGGAGGAGUGUUGAUGCUAUAGCAAUAUGGAAAAGAAGGCAUGGUUGAUGAGAUUGUUCUAAUCUUAAGAAAAUGCAAGAGUCCCAAGUCACAUGCUUGACUUUGAAUUUCACGGGAGUCUACUAUUGGGAAUGAAAUUAUUUUCUAUGCCUACUUGGGCACUUGCUCGUAUGCAGUGUGGGGCAACUGUUGCCCUGCUAAUAGAAGGUUCCUUCAACUGUGAAGUAGUAUUUCUAAUAAGUAUUUCUAGCCGUGAGGUAUUGGCUAAUAGUUGUUUAUUAAUUGAGAUUAUACCCUUUUCUACUGGAGAUGUGAAAGUAAUCCUACCUUACAACAUAAUAGAUUUCUAUUUCACUUGUGUCUUUAGUUUUUUUGUUUUUUUUUUUUGGAAAUCAUAUAAUUUUAAUCUCAAAUAUUCACUAAUGGAACAAAAUCUCUGCAGGAAGCCCAUUUUGGUAUCAAAAAUAUCCACCCCUGACCAUAUUCUUGCUGAUUUUACUUCUUGGUUACAACCAUUUAAUGAUAAUAGAAUGAGAAGUGAAGAGGAAAUUAGUUAUAUAACACCGUCGAAAAUAUUUCAAUGGUAAUGUUUUAAAUAUUUAAUAGAUAUGAAUUACCAUUACAUGUUCUAAAAUAUUGGAAAUGUACAAAAAGAAGCCUUGUUCUCUUUAAGUGCAUUCAGGAAAAAGUCAUUUAGAUUAAAAAAGUUAUAUUCCCAGGAGGAAAAUCAUAGAAUUUUGAGAUUCUUAUGCCUCCACCUAUUAUGUAGUUACUUAUUAAGUAACAGGUUUUUGUAGGAAUAAAAUGUUAUUGUUAUUCAUUCCAAACAAUUGGACUGACGGUAUUAUCAAUUUUCAAAAGUACAGUGCUGAGUUUGUACCGGUUUUACAAAUGGUUUAUUCUUUUGUUAAAAUGUUUGUUUUUUCUUACUGUAACAAGCAAUUGUAUUCUGAAAUAAAUAUUACAGUGUUCUUAGCAAUGUUACAAGUAUAUCAGUGCUUCUUAAUGUAGAUUACUUUAAGUACCAUUUAUAUAUUGUCUCAGAGACAAUAAAUGUCAUCUGAUUUCUGCUUCAUUAUGUUUAAGAUAUGGUAACUGAGAAGAUACUAUCAGGUCAUUUGUUUUUACUCCUACUAUGGGAUUGCUAAUAUUUUAAAAAGUUAGUUGCAGUUAAAAGUUUUAUCUGUCCUUUGAUUUAUAUAAUGUAAGUCAGGGCAAUGCAAUUUGGCACAAUAUUGAGAUUCACUGUGAAAUUAUACUCAUCAUUUGAGGCCCAGACUGAAUCACAUCGCUGCUAGAGGCAUUUAUCUUAUUAAAUUCAUGGCAUACAAAGUUCAGAAUAAACCUUAGAACUCAUCAUGUCAUACCCCUAGACCAGAAUUUCUCAAAUGCUUUUGUAUCAACCUUCCAUCAGCAGCACAUCUCAAAAUCACCCAUAAAAUCACACUCUUAAAAGGGUGAAGCCCAGAAAUCUGAAUUUAGAUUGGCACUCCAAGAAAUAUUAUGCAUUAUAAAAUUGUCAAACCACCACUCCAGCUGGGCUUGAAGUCCUUCUUUGACAACUUUUCCAAUGGUUGAAUAUCUUUGGAGGAAAAAAAAAAAAGUGCCACUACACUACACUCAAAUGAUGCUCAUAAUCUAGGUAGUUCUAUUGUAAAUAUAAAUAUACUUUAUACUUUGUCAAACUUUGUUGCUUCCACGUGUGUCAGCUUUCUAAAACUACAAUGAAACUUCUAAUUUUUCAAGCACAUUUUAACAAUUGAUGUAAUAUUAGUUGGUUAUAUCCUUGCAUUCUUCAGUUUGAAUGGAUACUUUUCUCCCUCUCUCAUGACACCAUUUCAGGUUUCCUAACUCCAUGACCAUACAGACUUUUUAAUAUUCUGGAGCAUAGUUUUAUGCUACUCUUCAUGCAGAGGGUACAAAAUCGAACACAAUCUUUUCAAUGAUAGGAUGGGUCUCACAAAUUAAAGGAAAUGAUAAAUAAAUAUAGAAAUAGAAUUUAAGAGGAAAUUAACAUCUCUGAAAUGCUGUGUCACUGGCAUUGCUAAGUUCUAAAUAUUCAUCAUUUUAUGCAAACCUGUGCUAAACAUAAGAGGCAGGGAAUUUCUUAUUAAAUGAUUUUUCAUAUUUUUCUUGAUAUCAAACCUUAAACUAUGGUUGCACUGGUAUUCAAAACCUGGUCUAUUUGUCACCAGUGCUUGUGUUUGCUUUCUACAUACUAUGCUUAUAAAGGGAUUUAUUAUUAUCUCUAUCCUAAACAAUGAAAGUUCUGUUGACCUCAAGGGUAUCUGUAUUUGUUCAGAAACAUGUGAGCAGUAUCAUUUUUAGACAUAUAAAAUAAUGAAAUCUCAUGAUAUCUAAUUAAAAUAAGCAAUACUAAGAUUAUCAAAUGUAUUAUAAGGACUAAUUGUUUAAGGCCUUAAAGUUAAGGACAAGAUCCAAAAAGCUUCUGGGAGUAUAAACAGAGCAUGUACAAAAAAAGAGAAAUAGAAAGUCUUCAGAAUCCCCAGCAAUAACAUUGGGAAUAGAAUAGUUUCUACAUUUUGACUGAAAAUACAGAAAAAGGAAUAAUGGGUCCUGGGGUGUUAUGUAAGAAAAAUUGAGAAUUGAGAAAAGAAAAUAGUACUUUAUAACUACAUUGAGAGAAAUGUGGUUAGGUUUCUUCCUUCCCUUUUUUUUUCUUUCCUUCUUUCUUUCCUUCCUCCUUUCCUUUCUUUCUUUUUCUUUGUUUUUUUUUUUAAUUUCUUUCCUUUUAAAAUUGAACAAGAAAAGUAAGUUACUAACAAGGAAAGCAAAUAUUAACUUCAAGGAAAAUAAUAAUAAAAGCAAAAUAAAUUUUCAUAAAAAUAAAACUAUAUUUUAUUGUACAUGGCUCAUGUACAAGCAACCUAUCUGUUUCCUAAUGCAUUCAAUGUUUAAUAUUGAUAGAGGUGAAAUUUUCAAUAUAAAGAUAUUUGAAAAAAUGGAGAUGUGAUUGUGUUUAUGUGUGUUUGAGCAAGGUCAAUGAAACUCAUCUUCGGUAAGAAAAAUUUCACAGAUAAUUUUCUAAAAGGAAAUUUUAAAAGCAUUUAAAACACAGUUUAUUUUUAUUUUUUAAAUAUAAUUUAUUGUCAAAUUUGCUAACAUCCAGUGUAUACAGUGUGCUCUUGGCUUUGGAGGUAGGUUCCUGUGGUCCAUUGCUUACAUACAACACUCAGUGCUCAUCCCAACAAGUGCCCUCCUCAAUGUUCAUCACCCAUUUUUUCCUCUACCCCCCACAUCUACCCUCAGUUUGUUCUCAGUACUUAAGAGUCUCUUAUAGUUUGCCUCCCUCCCUCUCUGUUUAUGACUCUUUUUUCCCCUUCCUUUCCCCCACGGUCUUCUGUUAAGGUUCUCAAGUUCCAAGUGAAAGUUUUCAAGUGAAACAUAUGAUAUCUGCCCUUCUCUGACUGACGUGUUUCACACAGCAUAAUACCUUCCAGUUCCAUCCAUGUUGCUGCAAAUAGCAUGAUUUCAUUCUUUCUCAUUGCCAAGUAGUACUCCAUCGUAUAUAUAAACCACAUCUUCUUUAUACAUUCAUCAGUUGAUGGACAUUUAGGCUCUUUUCAUAAUUUGACUAUUGUUGAAAGUGCUGCUAUAAAUAUUGGGGUACACGUGCCCCUGUGAAUCAGCACUCCUGUAUCCUUUGGAUAAAUUCCCAGAUUGCUGGGUCUUUGUGCCUGAGAUCAGUGACACAGCAGGGAUUUCCACUUUUACCAUUAUUGUUUAACAUAGGGUUGGAAGUCCUAGAAUCAGCAAUUAGACAACAAAAUGAAAUAAAAUGCAACAAAAUUGGCAAAGAAGGAGUCAAAUUGACACUUUUUGCAGACAACAUUAUAUUUUACAUGGAAAACCUGAAAGACUCCAUCAAAAGGCUACUAGAGCUGAUACCUGAAUUCAGCAAAUUUUCAGGAUACAAAAUCAAUGUACAGAAAUCGGUUGCAUUUCUAUACACCAAUAAUGAAGCAACAGAAAGAUAAAUCAAGAAACUGAUUUCAUUCACAAUUGCAGCAAGAACUAUAAAAUACCCAAGAAUAAACUUAACCAAAGAUGUAAAAUAUCUGUAUGCUGAAAACUUUAGAAAACUUAUGAAGGAAAUUGAAGUAGAUACAAAGAAACAGAAAAACAUUCCGUGCUCAUGGAUUGGAAGAAUAAACAUUGCUAAAAGUCAAUACUGUCCAAAGCAAUCUACACAUUCAAUGCAAUCCCAAUCAAAAUUGCACCGGCAUUCUUCUCAAAGCUAGAACAAAUAAUCCUAAAGUUUGUAUGGAAUCAAAAAAGACCCCAAGUAGCCAAAUAAUAUUGAAAAAGAAAACCAAAGUGGGAGGCAUCAGAAUCCCAGACUUUAACCUCUACUACAAAGCUGUCAUCAUCAAGACAGUAUGGUACUGGCACAAAAAAACGGACACAUACAUGAAUGGAAUAGAAUAUAAGACCCAGAAUUGGACCCACAAAUGUAUGCCCAACUACUCUUUGACAAAGCAGGAAAGAGUAUCCAAUAGAACAAAGACAGUAUCUUUAGCAAAUGUUGCUGGGAGAACUGGACAGCAAAAUGCAGAAGAAUGAAACUAGACAGCUUUCUUACACCAUACACACACACACACACACACACACACACACACACACACAAAACCUCAAAAUGGAUGAAAGAUCUAAAUUUGAGACAGGAAACCAUCAAAACCCUAGAGGAGAAAGCAGGCAACAACCUUUCUGACCUUAGCCACAGCAAAUUCUUGCUCGACACAUCUCCAAAGGCAAGGGAAUUAAAAAUGCAUUUUAAAAGUAUACUGUUUUCUUUCAAUUUCAGCUCCAAUAUAUAAAGAGCUUGGAAGCCAUCACUCCCACUCUUACAUUAAGAAAAAGCUGAUGUGGUGUCUGAGUGGCUCAGUCAGUUGAACAUCAGACCUUGGCUCAGGUCAUGAUCUCACAUUCCUUGGGUUUGAGCCCCACGUGAGACCCUGUGCUGAUAGCCAGAGCCUGGAGCUUGCUUCAGAUUCUGUGUCUCCCUCUCUCUCUGCCCAUGUCUCCCUCUCUCUCUGCCCCUGCCCCACUGAUACUCUCUGUGUGUCUUUCUCUAAAAUUAAAAGUUUAAAAAAAUUAAAAAAAAUAAAAAGAUGAAAAAACUGAUAAUUAAUGACUUUUACAGAAUUCAUGAAAUAACUGAGGUCCAGUGCAAACUGUCACCCUAAAAUGUAGAGAGGCAGGUGAUUCCAGAGGAUCAUAGCUGCUUCCUUCUUACCUGGACCAGAGACACUAGAACCAUAACUUGAUAGGAAUGCUUGAGUGUAGACUAGUUUUGUAGACAAAACAAAACUCCUGGUGACUGCAGUGUUUUUUGUGUGUAUGUGGUUGAUUGUAGAUGGGGCAGGGGAGAGUUUUACCUCCAGGAACCACACCAGGUGGUUUGACUCAUGAAAAGAGUCAAAAAAGAUUGCCUCAAAUCUCUGUCAAUUUCAGGGAAGGAAUAACCACUGGGAAAUACACAUACAAGAUUAUACACAUGAAAUACCUUCCAGAAAAUAGAAACAGAAGGAACAUUUUCUAAGACAUCUUAUAAAACUACCACCAUAUGUAAUAUAAAAAGGCCAAAGAAGAAAAGUCAUAUGAUUGUAUCAAUCACUAUAGAAAAAAAAAAAAACAAAAAACAUUUGACACAAUCCAGCAUUCAUUCAGGAUAAAAACAAUCAAUAUACAAGAAUUUGAGGGGAGCUUUCUCAAUUGUAUAGAGCACAUACAAAAAAAACCCUACAGUUAACAAUAAAUUUAGUGGUGAGAAACAAUUCUUUCACCUUAAAAUCACAAUGAAUCAAUAAUAUCUUUUCUUAUCAAUCAUAUGCAGCAACAUACUAGAAUUCUUAGCUAGUACGAUAAGCAAGAAAAAAUAAAGCAAUACAUAUAAUAAUAUUUUAUAUGUAAAAUAUAUAAAAAAUAGAUUUCUAUAUAUCAUAUAUAUACAUAUAUAUAUGGAAGAAAGGAAGAAACAAAGUUAUCUUUUUUCAUAGGUGAUAUCAAUAUGUAGAAAAUCCCAGAGAAUCCACAAAAAUAAAGAAAUAAAACCUCCUCAAAUAAGUUACUACAGCAAAGAUACAGGAUACAUGGCUAAUAUACAAAAGUCAAUUGUUUUCCUGUAUAUCAGCAAUGAAAACCUGGAAAUUUGAAAUUACUGAAAUUUUUGAAAUAUAAUUUAUGAUGAACUCCCCCUUUAAAAAAUAAAUAUUUAGGUAUAAAUCUGACACAAUAUUUACGAGACUUGCAUGCAGAUUCCUACAUAUUCCGUAUUGUUAAAUAAGAUGUCAAUUCUCAACUUGAUGAAUAGAUUUAGUGCAAUUCCAAUAAAAUCCCAAGAAGCUAAUCUAUGCAUAUCCACAAAUGUAUUACAAAGGGUACAGGCGAGGGACCUAGGAAAACUACACAAUACCGAACUAGAGGAAUCAAGUUGGAGAAGUUAUACAACCUGAUUUCAAAAUUUAUCACAAAGCUAAAAUAAAACAGCAUAGAAUUUGUCCAAGAAUAUAAGCAUAGAACAGAGUCCAGAAGAUCCGCAUAAAUAUAGUAAAUGGCAUCUUACAAAAAAGCAAAGGCAAUCAAUGGAGAAGAAAUAGGCUUUUCAAUAAAUGGUUCUGAUACAUAUGCAAGAAAAAUAAAGCCAUAUAGAGACCUUGUAUGUUUCAUAAGAGUAACUCAUGAUGAAUCAUGGAUGAAAAUGUGAAAUGAAAAUCUAUAAAACUUCCAGAAAAAAAAAAUAGAAUAUCUAAGUGAGAUUCGCUUUGGCAGUGAGAUUUUAGAUACAACACCAAAAGUAUGACCAAUGAAAGAACAAUAAGUUGAACCAUAUUAAAAUUAAAAAUCCCUUCUCUUGUAAUGUAAGAGAAUGCAAAUACAAGACUCAGACAAUAGAAAAUAUUUGCAAAACACAUAUAUGAUAAAGGAUUAUCUCCAUAUCUCAUAUAUCUCAUAUAUCUCCAUAUAUGAUAAAGGAUUAUCUCCAAAGUUUACAAACAGCUCUUAAAACAAUACACGGCCCACUUUAAAAGUGGACAGAAGAUCUGAACAGAGACCUCUCCAAAGAAGCUAUGCAUAUAGCAAAUGAGCAUGUGAAAAGAUGCUUAAAGAUGUAUGUUAGGAAAUUUACCAACUAAAGCAACAUAAUACUCUUAUACAGCUUUCAAAUGCCUAUAAUCCAAAAAACACUGGCAGUACAAGUUCUGAAGCAAAGAUGCAAAUCACCAGAAACUCACUUCUUGCUAAUGGUUAUGCAAAAUGUUAUAGCCACUUUGGAGACAGUUUGGCAGUUUAUUACAAAGCUAAACAUAGUCUUACCAUAUGAUUCAGGAAAUACACUCCAGAGCAUUUACAAAACUUACUUGAAAUCUUAUAUCCACACAAACAAACUUCACGUGAAUGUUUAUAGUAACUUUACUCAUAAUCGUCAAAAAAGCUGGAGGUAACUAAGAUGCUCUUCAACGGGUGAAUGGAUAAAGAAAAUGUAAUACCCUUUGUAGAAUGGAUUAAUAUUCAGUGAUUAAAAUACAAGCAAUCAAGCCAUAAAAACACAUUCAUGAAUGUUAAAUACAUAUUGAUCAGUGAAAGGAGCCAGUCUGAAAAGGCGAUAGACCCUACAGUCUCAAAUAUAUCACGGUUUGGAAACAGUAAAACUAUCGUUUAUGGCAAAAGGUUUAAUGGUUACCAGGAAUUUGGGGAAGGAGAGAAAGAUUGAAUAGAAGGAGCACAUACUCUGCUUAGGUCUGUGAGUUUAUCGGGAGUAAUUCCGUAGUUCUAGACGCAUGGUGGUAUAAAUUUGUUAAAAUGCAUAGAACUUCACCUUAAGAUUAUAAUAAAUUGGAACUUCACGUAUGCAAAUUAAAGAAAUCCCCUAAGAAGUUGGGAAUCCCAGGCUGGGAUGCAGAAUGUGACACAAAAAUCUAUAUUACACAUGUAUAAAACAACCUCUCUAAAAUGGUGGAAGAAAUGUUGACCUUUGUGACUUUGCCGAUGAGUGGAGUAUGAAAGAUUAAAGGCAAAAGAAGCUAUACAUAAGCACUGUAUUCUAGUUGAUAAAGCUCUCUCACUAUGGCACACAUGAGCAAGUCUAAUACUGUCCUAUAUGUGUACUGGAAUGGAACUGUUAAGUAAAUGAAUGGGGGAUGUUGAGCCAGAUUUCUCUUUGUGGGUUCAAAGAUAAGCAAGGGGAAGAGGCUAGAAGGAUCCCCUUUUUUAAUAGAUUAAAGGUGGAAACAUCAGUGUGAACUCAUGUUUAGCUUACUAUAGGUAUAGUUGGCUACUUGUACAAAUAUUUAGAUAUAAGACAGAGAUAAGUACAUAGAUUAGUCUCCACAUAGAUUUUCUUGCUCUGUCAUCUGAGAGAACCUAGAAACACUAACAGUGCAGUAGCAAGGAGCACCCUAAGGGCACAAAUCCAGGUUGAUAACACUAUUCUCCAAUAAAAAGACUUAGAUCUUGAAAAAAAAAAUGGCUGAUGCUAAGACAGGGGCAUGAAAUAUAUAAGAUGAUCCUGGAACAUCAUCUUGGAGUGCCAGAAAGUAAAGACAUACUGAACAAUAAAACAAAACAAAGCAAAGAACAACAACACCAAAAAUGUCCACAUUGAUGUCUAAAGGUCAUGGCAGCACUGAAAGAGGUUCGAUGGCCACGGUUGGAAAAUUUGACAGAAUACAUCAAGUACUAUUGAAUUAUACCACAAAGCACAAAAUGAAUAUCUAUAAAUCAUUCUGAUAUAAAUAAAUACUUAAACAAAUACAUGGGAAAGAAGUAAAUCUAUGAAGAAAACACCAAUAGUUUAUGUAGCUCUCCCUCAAAAUAAAGCAUCCCUCCCCAAACCUUAAGUGUAUGCUGUAUAUAAUCACUUCCUGCCCAAGAGUACAGUAUGGAGAGGGAGGGCUUCCAGUAAAGAAACUGACUGCCUCAGCCAGACGGUCCAGGUCAACAUCAACUGUGACAAUUCAGGCUGAUAGUAUGUAUUUUUUAUGUGAUGCGAUGUGAUUUUUUUAUUUUUGCCGUCUUCCUCCCCCAAACUCAUAACCCAGUCUAAUCAUGAGAGAAACAUCAUAAAAAUCCCAGCUGAGGUAUAUCCAACGAAUUACCUGACCAGUACUACACAGAGUGGUCAAGGUCAUUAAAACAGGGAAAGUCUCUGAAACCGGUACAGCCCAGAGGAGUUCACAACAGCCUAUGUCUAGACGUAAUGUGAUAUUCUAGAUGGGAGCUUGGAACAGAGAAAGGUCAUUAGGCAAUGCUAAUGUAUGAAGCUAUAAACAUGACAUAUGAAUGUAAGAUGUUACCAGUAAGGGAAACUAGGUGAGGGAUAUAUGAGAACUUUCUGUACUACCCUUUCAACUUUUCUGUAAACCUAAAAGCAUACUUAAAAAAUGGAUUGAAUAAUAUUCAUUUUCUAAAAAAAAAUAAUUGAUGUUUAUUUAUUUUUGAAAGAGAGAGAGUGUGAGCAGGAGAGGGGCAGAGAGAGAAGGAGGCAUAGAAUCCAGAGUAGGCUCUAGUCUCUGAGCUGUCAGCACAGAGCCCGAUGGGGGUCUCAAACUCAAGAACAGCAAGAUCAUGACCUGAGCUAAUGUCAGACGCUUAACUGACUUAGCCACCCAGGUGCCCCUAAAAAACGCAUUUUUCAAGGAAAAUUCAGGUGAACAGAGAAGACAGAUCUCAAAAUGCUUGCUUCUUAGGAGCAGGGAUUCAGCUGUUGGGAAUCGUAGGACAAAAGAUAAUGGCUUCCCUUUUUUUAAACUUGUAGUGGUUUCCAAUAAAGUAAAUUAUGCACAUGACUUUCUCUGCAAAGAAGAAGAAGGAGAAGGAAAAGAAGAAGAAGAGGAAGCAGAGGAGGAAGAGGGGGAAGAGGAGGAAGAAGGAGAAAGGAAGGAGGGAGGAAGAGAGGAAGGGUAGGAGGAAAGGAGGGAGAAAAUGACAGGUUAACCUGCCUCAAAUUGCCCAGGUUAUAAGAUAAAACUGGGGCUUAAACUGAAUUCUUUCUGAAGCUAAAGCCCACAGGGUUAGUCACUUUUGCUUCCUUUUCGUUUUAAAAAAAAAAGGAUGAAAUGACUAGAAGGGCAGCUAGGUAUCUCUUGCUUAACUGUAAGAAAUCUCAUGUCUCAUUCCUUCAGCAAAUUUAUUGAAAAUGUAUUCAGUGCCAGAUGUUACUGAACCAAGUAACUCAUUAUGAUUUUUAAAAGGGACUUGGAACUUGCCUCAAAUGUUUGCAAACAGUUAAGUCAAUUCUACCUGCUCCGCCUUCCAGUAUUUCUCUAAAACUAAUCUUCAGUAACUUCAUUUAUCACACUCUUCUGUGUCACCUUUGAGUUUUGAUUUGCAAGGCCAGAUUUGGGGGUGGAACUUCAGUUGAAGUCGAUGGAAAGGGAUUUAGUAACUCUACUAAAGAAAGUCUUGUCUGGAAGCAUAGGAGGAAAAUAACCUCUGUGUGAACAGAGUGAGAAAGUUCUUAUUGCAAAGUGUAAAAGCUUCUCUGCACAUCACUUUAUUCACUGGAGAAUGAUGAUGAUGAUGAUGAUGAUUACUACUAUUAUUCAUUUUUAGGGCAGGGCAUAGUAUUAUUCUUUAAAUGUUUGAAUGUAUUAAAACAUUAAAAAUGUAUUACCCAUGUAGCUAAGAAAGGGAAUGGGCUGGGUUAUCUCCCUUUCUCUUUUAUGUUUCCUUUUCUUUCUUUCUUUCUUUCUUUCUUUCUUUCUUUCUUUCUUUCUUUCUUUCUUUCUUUCUUUCCCAGAGGGAUGGUACUAAUUUUCUGUGUAAUUAUUUUAAGACUGAGUUAGAGAAUUAUCUUUUUCUUGAUUCUUUUCUCCUGUUGUGUUUACAAUUGAGAAGGUGAAAAAUCUUCUUAAUGAAUUGUGUCUAGACUAGAAACAGUUCUAAAGAUUGAAAGCCAGCCGCUGGGGUCAGUUUGGUUGUGGUGGUUGUUUUAGAACACAGGCUGGGUUUUCAGGGUCUACGCAAGCUUCCUCUGCAGUUAUCAGAAGGGGAAAAAUGUCUCAACUAUGAGUAUUCAUGAAAGUGCAGAAACAAAACACCAAUAUUUGUUUACGUGGAAGGAUAUUAUGAACAAUAUUUAGAAAAACAGUCUUUUGAAUUUAUCCCUAUAACAACUAAUAAUGUAGGAAAACUACAAAAAGACAUCCUUCUUUUAAAAUCACUAAUAAUUGCCUUUAUUGUUUCAAUUGAUGUAAAGUGACAUAAAAGCCAGUUUUUCCCUUCCAAAUCCCAUUUAAAAUGUUAAAACUACACCCAAAUUACAGCAUACAUACAAAGUUACAAUUAGGUGCACAUGGGUUGUCUUUUUAAUUUUAAUUACAGCAUAUUUAUAUAAUCAUUUUAUCCCUUUUAAGUCAAAGCACUUAUGUGAACUUGAGGGAUUCUUUAUAUUAUGCCAUAGUAAUCAUCAUAUUUUACUGGAUCAUAUCACAUCAUUUCACAUGAUUCAUUAAUGUUAUAAGGAAAGCACCAGAACAAGAGUCAAAUCGUUGAUAGUUUCCCUGAACAUUAGCUAAAACACCCCGGAUAAGCUAGGUGCAAGAUCUUUCAGAGUUUCAACAUUCUUAAAUAUAAAAUAGGAAUGAUAACAUCUGUUCUGCAUUUUCCAGGGUCACUCUCAAUGACAAAUUACAUGUCAGAAUUUUUUGAAAUUCUAAGAUACCAAUUAUUUUUAAGGAAAGAUUAUAAUUAAAUAUUUGAAAUAUAGGCCAUCACUCUAUUAUAAAAGAUUAAGCCUCUGCAAGCAAAGAUUUAAAUUUAUUCAUUUAAAAAUAUAUAAAGUUUUAUAUGCCAAUAAAUUCAUCUUUUAUAUAUUAAGGCAAAUUAAGAGGCCCUCAGAAUUAAAGACAAAUAUGAUUUUCUUAAUUUAAAAGAAGACGACAUUUGACUUGUGUACCAAGCAAGUCCUGUCAACAGAAGAUUAAUGACAUGCAUUAUUUAAAGACGACUUAACUUGGGAAUCACUCAGUAAAUAAGAAUGAUACAUCAUUAAUUUAACAUGUAUCAAUUAUGAAUAUUCUUUCAAUGUUAUUGAAGAUACUUGAUAACAAUUUGCAUAAUCUUGUAUUUUAAAUACUAAUUUUUGUAUUUCUGUUUACAUGAUCAUUUUUCUUAUUUCUACUUUGUGUAUCUGAAAACUGAGCCCAUUUUAACCUUUUUAAUCACCUUAAAGGACAAAUAAUACAUUAUAUAUAUGUCAGUGUAGAGGAGAUUUAUUACAUAGGCUCUGAAUUAGUAUUUUUUUUAAGUUUGUUGAUUUAUUUUGAGAGAGAGAAUCCCACGUGUUCUCUGCACUGUCAGAGCAGAGCCCAGCCCGAGGCUCCGUCUUGAGAACUGUGAGAUCAUGACCUGAGCCAAAAUCAAGAGUGGGAUUCUUAACCGACUGAGCCGCCCAGGCCACUCUGAGUUAGUAUUUCUAACACAUUAUUUGUAAGUGCAUUGCUAAAAAAGCAAUCCUACAAUAAUUCUGCAGCAAUAUUCUCAGCUAUUAUCUUCUUCCUCUGUGACGAGUACGCUUUCACUUGAAACGUGACACUAAAACUUGAUUCAUUUCAGAUCACACAAUUCUAAGUUUACGGAAAUUUAAAUGAGAACUUGUUAGAAGCUUAUCAUUACUUAUAAACCUACUUAUAAAUUCUGCAAAGCAGUUUUACAAAUAAUAUCCUGGAUGAUUAUUUAAAAUAGUUAGCAAAACAAAUUGUUUUGAUUGACAGAAACAUAAUUUGGAAGCAACCAUGUACAUGCAACAGUAUCAAUAUACUAAGUAUGAGUUGUUACUUAUUAAAAAUAAAUUCCUUAAGGAUGGACAACUGCUAAGUAACGUGCAAUUUUAAAGGUCGUUAUAAGUUUACAUAUACAACUAUAUAUCUCUUUAUAGAUAUAAUAAACGUAGUUAAAAAUCAAACCAGCUCUCCUCCAAAUAGAUUCAGAAAGUGUUAGCAAUGUACCUCUGUCUGUGUUGUUAAGUUGGAAAAUUGUCAAAAUCUCAAAUAUUUGCCUUACGCUCCAUUUUUAUUUCUAUAAUUUGCUUAGUGUAAGAUUAAGAAGUAAGAUUUGUAAUGCAGUAAUAACAUUUAAUCCUAUAUACAACCCCGGGGCAUCCCCUAACCAUGGCAGGUAAGAUAUUCAUUACUAAUGGUCCUGUAAUAAGCCUCAUAAUUCUUAUAAAUACAUGAAAUUUGUUGUCAUACACACACACACACACACACACACACACACAUAUAUAUAUACAUACAUAUACAUAUAUAAAACUUACAUUCUUUCAUUGCAGUCUUAAUUAAAAUGAUACUCUCAUGGGAAAGCAGGUGUGUGUGGUUGGAGUUUUACAAUGAAUUAGAAAAACACCAUGUUUUUCCAGGAUGGAUCCCUAAAUAGAAGUCAUGUCAUACUGUUAGCUCAUUACAGUCAUGUUCUUAGUUUGGAAUAUCUCGAGAUUUUAUUGUAGAUCCAUAAGCUAUAAAGCCUACAGUGGCUAAGUCUUUCUACUGAAAUGCACAGAGGACUAAUGAUAAAAUCAGGAGAUCUGUAGAUUCAUUUCAGUGAAAACUAUAAUUAAUAACCAGAUCAGAUAUUUAUUUGCGUCGGCAAAGAGCAUCAUUUUUGUUUCUUCUAUACAAGCCAAUGGGAAGACAGAUGAUACAUGGUUGUUUGGAGAUCAUAAAACCAAAAGAAAGAGGUAAUAUUCACAUAAUAUUCACAUUUUUAACAACAUCGAACUUAUAUACCCUGUUGUAACCAUCUUCAGUACAGAAAUCUAGCUGUCAGGAAGAAUAGGUCAGUUGGCCCAUCAGGCAUUCUUGGCCCUUAACACUGACAAUGCUGGUCUUUGUAAUUUUUUUUCUUCUCUGUCAUUCAUUCUCGUCUCAUCAACUAACCUUUUAAUUAACCAUUCUACUAAGUGAAAUAAAAUACUUUCUAUUAUUUAAGUGCCAGCAAUGUGCUAGACACCAUUCUAAACACUUUAUAUAAAUGAUCUCAUUAACCUGUAUCACUAUUUCUUUAAAAAUCCAAAAGUUUACACAUUAGGAAACCAAAUUUUGAACCAAUGAAUUAGCAAGACUGGAUUGAGAUAGCUGGUAAGCAACGGAUUUAGUACUCAAACCCAAGUAUGGUUGAAUGCAAACUGUAAAACUUCAUUCUCGAUGGCUGCUUAUUUCUCCUUAUGAUGGAGCAAUCUUGCUUGCAUUUUUAUCUGCAUUUUUGGGAGCGGAGCCCUUUCUCAGUUGUUCACUAGUACAACCAACAGUCUUAUUGCAGAUGAAAAAAAAAACUUAGUUUCAAAAAUAUCAAAUAAUUUGUUCCAGUUGCUCAGAGAAUAAAGACCACCACGGACUUGAACCUGGAUCCUCCAUAUCUAAAGCACAUCUUUUUUGCACAGAAGGUGUCCCUCUGGUCACCGCCCCCCCGCCCCGUGUGCCCACAAUUCACUGGCUGAGCAAACGAUGUCUUUGGAGUAGUUAUUUCAUUUGGAAGUUGCACUGGCUAAGUCCUUUAUAUAAAAUCUGAAACAUCUCACCAUCAUCAAGAGCAUGCAGUAAGUCAGUUCAGGGGAUGCGUUUUUCUUCAGUUCAUUUAUCCCACAAAUAAACCUACGAAAGCUCUCAUUUACCAUUCCAGAUAAUCUUUUCGUUGGAAUCGCUUUCUACGGGAGCCCUUUCAAUUAUCACAGGGACGGCUGGAGAUUUUCAUUUGGGGCAAAAUAACCUUUUACCUCUCACCUCAGCUCGUCAAAGCUACUUGCUAUUGUUGGGAUCUAAAUUACCCAGGAGUGAAAAAUUGUAGCAACAGCGGAAGAAAGGGUUCACUGGGAGGUCGAAACCUUUCUUUUUCUGUUGUAGAGAAAAAGGUAGGUAUUGUCGAGUAUAAAUUUACUUUGAAAGAUGUUGGGGCAACCAUGCAGUGGAAUAUAACAUAUCCUGUAAAAUAAUCUAUUUGUCUUUUUUUAAACAAAGAUAAAUAGAAAUGAUAUGCACAUAUGUUUGGUGUUCAUUUAUUUAUUUUGAGAGAGACAGAGACAGAGACAAAGCAGGCGGGGAGGGGCAGAGAGAGAAUUCCAUGCAGGCUCCACGCUGCCAGCACAGAGCCCAACAUGGGGCUCGAUCUCAUGGAUGCUGAGAUCAUGAGGUGAGCAGAAAUCAAGAAUCAGUCACCCCACAUAUGUGUAUGUUUGCUUGAGUUGUCUGCAUGGUAACUCUAAUAUUAGGUGAAACUUCUACGCACGGCAUGUAUUCAGAUUCAAUUUAAUGUGAAAUUAAGGAAGAUUACAAUCUGGGCAUCAGUGAGGCAGGUGUAUGAUUGCAAGUCUCUUUACUCAAUUCCCUCAUAAAAAUUUGGUUAAAAUCAUAUCCCUCCCCACAUUCCUCCCCCCCACCAGCCCUAAAAAGCUAAGAAAAUAAACUGAUUCCUUAUUAACAAAAUUUACUCAGCUCUAAACACAGUGCUCAUAAAUCGGUAUAAAAUGAAUAAAUGGGUAAACAAAAGGGUCAUGGACAAAUUGUUGACGUCAUUUACGAGAGAGCAUAAACAAAGAAGAAACAACUGUGGUGCCUGGGUGGCUCAGUCAUUUGAGCAUCGACUUCGGCUCAGGUCAUGAUCUCAUGGUCUGUGAGUUCAAGUCCCGUGUCAGGCUCUGUGUAGACAGCUCAAAGCCUAGAGCCUACUCUAGAUUCUGUGUCUCCCUCUGUCCCUCUGCCCCUCCCCUGCUUGUGCCCUUUCUAUCAAAAAUAAGUAAACAUUAAAAAAUAUUUUUAAAAAAUGAAGAAGAAACAACUGUCAUCAAAAGUGUAAAACAUUUCCCCAUUUUUUUUUCCAGUCUGAGGACUUGAGUCCUUUAGAAGAGAGUGGAGACUGCUUCAAAAACAAAACCUCUAUAAAAUUGUUUUCAAGAUAUUAGGCCUGGCUAGUUUUUAUUUCCACAAGCUUGGUUAAAAUCAUAGAAUUGUUAUUUCCAAUUUUCAGUUGACUCUCCAUUUUUUUAAUAUAUGAUUCAAUAAAAGUUUCGUUAUCACCUAACAUACUCACAGUGCCUUAGAGUUCAAGGUAAUGGAUUUGUCCUGUUAUAUUUGGAGGGCCCUUUUUCUUACAUGAGUGAUAGAAGGAUUGGCCACGUUGCUUCAAAUUCUUCUGUUGCGUAUACUAAUGCUUUCCGCACAUCACACUUCACUCCACAGGAUCUUGGCAAUGUGGACUCUCUUCUGCUUUGAUAAUUCUGAAUUUGCUAAUAGUUAUGGUAUUUUGCAUGUCUCACAGACGCAGUUGGUAUUCUGCUUUUGAGUCUUCUCCAACCAUAGAUGUGUAAAAGUUUAAAACAUGAUUUACACUCAAACAUCCUUAAAAGUACUUUUUUUUCUCUUUUUUCUUACAAAGAGGACUUCAUAUAAUCUUCACAGCAAUUAAAAAAUAUGUAUGCUGAUUUUAUUUUAUAGAGGAAGGCACAACGCCUAUUGUAGCAUAAGUGCUCAACGAGUCAUUAUUAAAUGACCAAAGAAAGCUGAAAGAGUUAAGUGACUUUUCUAAGUUCACAUAGAAAGUGAAUGUCACUUUCAUGUUCUAGUUUGGAAACUGAACCAUCUUACUGUUUCUAACCUACCCUUGGAAUAUUGGGAAAGCAUGUAUUGAGCACAAGUUAUCUGCUUGUGGAAGAAAAGUGCUCCGAAUUCACUUGUGAGUCAGCUAUUUUGCCUAAGGGCUCAGGCAUCUUUGAGUUCACCUAGGCAUGAAGACAUGCUUUUCAUUUACCUAGAUAGUUGAUUUAUUAAGGGUUGUUGUUUUCUAAUAUUGUAGUGUUGUUUUUUGUUGCCUUUUUAAUAAAGCAGAGUAAGGAAGUAGAAUUUCUGAAUCAUAUUAAUCUGAUCUAUUUUCUUGGAAUAAGAUUCGCAAAUGAUGGAUCUUUAAUUUUAACAUGAAUCACUCUGCUAGUCCUUCCUUACCUUUAUGACUUAAAGACAUUCAUAAUAGUUUCAGAGAGAGAGAGAGAGAGAGAGAGAGAGAGAGUGCAGGAGGGGCAGAAAGAGAGGGAGAGAGAGAGAAUCCCACACAGGCUCUGCACUGUCAGUCCUAAUGUCGGACUCAAACUCACAAAUGGUGACAUCAUGAACUGAGACAAAAAUCAAGAGUCAGACGCUUAACUGACUGAGCCACCCAGGCGCCCCUCAAUAUCCUUGCUUUAAAUAAUGGUAUAUGAGAUCAUUAUAUUCCUAAAAGAAAGUAUACAGAUUGCAAUGGACACUGAAGAUUGUUCUCUUGGCAUCAAUUUUCCCUCCUUCCUUUGUGAAUCUAGCCCUGCUCUGUAUACCUCUGUAAAAACUGAUCUCAUCUCCACUUUGGGCAUUAGGCUUAGUCUAGGCAAAGACAGUCAGCUUUGAAUUCAUCACCAAGUGACUCCUGAAGUCACAAUGAAGGCAAGGGCCUAUAUUUCUCUGUCUCUUGACAAAUAUGACUCUUGUGAUUAUCUCUUGCUGUAGUACAAACACCCCCUAAAUUUAAUGAUUGAAACAACCAUUAUUUAUUUUAUUCAUGAAUCUGCAAUUUGGACAAGGCUAGGUGACGAUGCCAUGCCUGUGUUCAAUAUGGCAUUAGCUGGAGAAGGAAUGGAAGACUAACUUCCAAGAUGGUUUAGUCACGAGGAUCGUAAUAUGGUGCUGGCUGCUUCCUGGGAACUUUGCUGGCAGCCCUCAGUUGCUUUUCACGUCGGGCUUGCUCCAAGGGCUGAUUACGCUUUUAAAUAAUAUAGCCACUGGCUUCCAAAACCAAGUGUUCAAAGCGAGAGAGGUCAAAACUACCAGUCUUUUAAGGUCUGGUCCUGAAAGUUGGCACAGAAUCCCUUCUGCCAUAUUCUAUUGCUCAGUUAGUCAGGAAGCCCACUUAGAUUCAAGAGGAGGUUACGUAGACUUCAUCUCAAGAUGGGAGGAAGGUCAAGUUAUUCAUGGUCAUCUUUAAUGUUACACAAUGAAUAAGAAAGCCUGACCAUUGCUAUCUUGCAAUCAAGAGAGGAACAAGCUUUAAAAUAAAUUUAACCUACUGGAUUCAGAGCUGAAAACAGAAAGGUCCUGGUUUCUUGAAAGCAGUGAGCCACUCACUCAACCUAUCCUGGAACCUUCAUUAUGGCUAGGCUUCCAUUUCUGUAAGACAAUCAACGAAUUCAUUUUUAGAACAAAUCUGAGUCGGGAUAUUUUGAAGUUGCUCUUUAUAACAUUCUAACUUAGACAGAGUUAUGGCAGGAUUUAGAAGACAAUCUAAAGUUUUGACUGGUUUACAAUAAAAAAACACCUUAUAGUUAAAUCUCUGUACACCCAAAACUAAUAUAACACUGUAUGUUAAUUAUAUCUCAAUUAAAAAUUUAAAAAUAAAAAUAAAAGACAUAAUACAUUAAUAAAUUAUAAUUAAAAUGGGAAAAGGAAGUAUAUGAACCAUUAAAAGAAGAAGUACAAAACCUCCACUGACCCAAUAGGGGUUAGGGGGGCUGAGCCUCCGAAUACCCACACAGUUGAAAAUCUCUGUAUAACUUUUGACUACCCCAAAACUUAGCUACUAAUAGCCUACAGUUGAUCAGAAGCCUUACCAGUAACAUAAACAAUUGAUUAACAUAUAUUCUGUAUAUGUAUUGUAUACUAUAUUUUGUAUAUGUAUUGUAUACUAUAUUUUGUAUAUGUAUGGUAUACUAUAUCCUUGUAACAAAGUAAGCUAGGGCAAAAUAAAUACUAUCCAGAAAAUCAGAAGGAAAAGAAAAUACAUUUACAGUGCUGUACUAUAUUUACUGAAUAUACGCAGUUCAAACGUGUGUUGUUCAAAGGCCAACCGUAUUUAAUAUCUGUUUAUUUCAUAUGAGUCGUACUAAAUUAAUUAUUAAACAUCAAAAGAACAACUGAAGUAACGUAAUUAAUAAUAUGUCAAUUCUCUAGAGCCCAAUGAAAGUUCUUUUAUUAUCACGGGUGGAUAGUCAUAAAUUACUUGAUUUGUUUGUUCUACAACCUCUGUAGCAGAUUUUUAACUACAUACUAAUUAAUGUGCUAAUGGGAUUUGAACAUUAAUUGGUAUCUUACAAAGUCUUGAGAAUUAUUUAAAAAUUGUGAUGCUAUACAAGUCUUAGAAAUAGUUGACUGAUUUGUCACGUUAUCAAUCAAAAAAAAUGUUAAUAUCAGAAAGUUCCAAAUCUGCCAUCAAUAAUAAUUUGGGCCUAGUGUUAUUAUCAUUAGUAAAAAUUACUAAAUUCCACAAAAUUAUUUUCUAUUUGCGCAUACUGAUUUUUGUUAAUUCCAGUUGUCUUAUUGUCAAAUGGAAAUAAUAGCCAGAGGAGCUGUUAAGUUUAUUUCCUUCCUUCUUUCCCCUUCCCCCUUCCUUCCUUCCCUCCUUGCUUCCUCCCUUCCCUCCUUCCUUCCUUUCUCCCUUCCUUCCUUCCUUCCUUCCUUCCUUCCUUUUUUAAAAUUAUUGACUUCUUGGUAUAAAGAACUGAAUCGAUAGUACUGUUUAUAUCCACUGAGAUGGUGGUGUUAAAACUGUUUCUUUAUAAGUAUUAUCUGAGGAAUUUAUGUGACAGAGUCAAACUCCACACCCCUCGAGAUUCUACUUUGAUGAUUGUGGAUGAAAUCUGCAAAUUUCAAAUGUGUCUGAAAUUAACAAGUGUCUGAGGUAACUCUGUGCAAGGAUGACUCCUAGAGAAAAGACCUGGUUAGUGGUAAGAGGAGGGGAAUGGAAUGAAAGGAAAAAGCAAGAAAAGAACUAAAUGUAGAUCCAAAUAUAACUAAACAUAGAUCAGUUAGCCCACAACUUGCCAAAAGUAUAGGUUUUAAUUCCUAAUGAUAACCAUGAGAUGCUGCAGUAUUUUAUUUUAUUUGUUUUUUUUUUUAAUGUUUAAUGUUUAUCUAUUUUUCAGAGAGUCAGAGACAAAGCAUGAGAAGGGGAGGGGCAGGGAGAGAGAGGGAGACACAGAUCCAAAGCAGGCUCAAACUCAUGAACCACGAGAGAUCAUGACCUGAGACAAAGCUGGAUGCUUAGCUAACUGAGCACCCAGGCUCCAGAGAUGCUACAAUGUUUUAAAUCAUGUCCUAAAUCAUUAGAUAAAAAUUUGGUCAAAAUAAUGUUUUUGCUACAGCAUUCAAGUAUGGUUGAAAAAUUUUUAAAGAAAGGAAAAACAUGAUUUUGAUGACACUUAUCUGAUACCAGAAUAGUUUCUGAGAAUGAAGUAACAUAUUAUUUUUAAAUUCAUAUUUGAAAAAAAAAAACAACAUUGUGUAUGCAAUAUACUGAAGUAGGGAUGUGGCUUGGUAAAAAUUAUCCUUAAAAUUUUUAAGUGACUCAUAAAAUAAAGUAUGUAUACGUAUAAAAUCCUGAAAACAAUAGUGUAUAGAAUAAAAUGAGAGUAGCAGCCCCAUCCGCCACCAUCCUCUUUAUCCCCCCCCCCUUUUCAUUAAGUUGACUGAGUCAAAACUGUGUCAUUUAAAUACAGACUGUUAUUUGGAACCCUAAAAGCAGUAUUUUACUUCCUCGGAAUGUAAAUGUCCUCAUUUUUAAAAAUAAGGACUUUUAUGGGAUGGUUACUAAUGUUUUAAAUGACUCCUUCCUCUCUCCUCCUAACCCCCCACCCCCACACCCAUACACAUCGAAUCACUACACUCUGAUGUUCGUCACACACACACACAUACACACAGACACACACACUCAAUCACAUCCAUCCAGAAUUAUUACAUGUUUGAUAUCAUUUCAGAAGAUUUGCAUAUAAGAUAAUUCAAUCUAUCAAUAUGUACAAUCAGCUCUCUCAAUGCCAACAUCCUCGUCAUCAUAUGCGGAUAUUUGGAAACGACUGAACAACAAAAUAAAUAUUCUGAUUCUGUAUUUCACAUAUUUUGCCAAUGAAAUCGAUGAAUUUGAAUAUAGGUUUCAUAUUGCUGAAUCUAUUAACUGACAAUAUAAGAUAAUCUUUUGUCUUCCCUCCAGUCCAAGUAUUUAAUGUUUCUUUGAGAAACAGAAGAGUUUUGGUACCAACACAGGGGCAUCUCCUAUACUGAUGAAUAAAUCUGGAAAUAAUAUGUGUUAAAAAGCUGCUUUAGUCUCCAUUGUAAAAAUUAGGAAAAAAAAUAGUAUUGACAGGGGAAAUAUAACAAAAAGCAUGUAAUAAAUGUAAAUAUUAUGCCUGUCACAAUAGUGAACAGAUAUAGAAUAAAUGAAGUAAUGCGAACUUACUACAAUUUUGUCCUAUAGACCCUGGUGUAUAUCAUUUUUACUGUACUAGAUAAGAAUCUAACACCACUGUAUUUCUGAAAAAAAAAAGUUAUGGCCUCUUUGGUAUUGUAAAUUGACAAAAUUUUCUUCUUUCAGUCAGAGUUUCAUUACCAGCUUAUGAAAGUAUUAUAACUUUGCAUAUAGUAAAUUUUAGACAAAUAGAUGAUACUUCACAAAGGAUAAGUUGGGAUCGUAUUUUACCGGGUGGUCUCGCGUGCAGAAAAUCUUCAGCAUGCUGAGCACAUGGAGAACAUGUCCCUGCAUAAAUGGUGAACAUUAGAAUCAUUAACAUUUAAAGAGGCAACUCUGGGGGGAAAUAAGGAAUGGAAGUUCAAAGGAAAGUUGGAGAUUGAACAGUUUAGAAAAUGUUCCUCUUCUUUUUACUCUUCCUUAUUCUAUCUCAUCUCCAUCUUCAAAACCUACUUCCUGAGGCUAACCAGUAGGGUGAGACUCUGAUUAAAGCACAUGAUACUGAAGAAUUAAUACUCUGUAGACUUGACUUCCUCUCAUGGUGCAUUUACUUGCUGGGAGUGGUAAAAUCUUUAAUUCGGUGACCUUGGGGCCUGGCGUAUCAUGCGCCAGGCUUCCGUCGCUGGGCCAAUCCCUCCCUUACACACAUACACACAUACACACAUUAAUUAUCGCCUACAACAUCAGUCCUAACAAGUCACAAACGUUAACCCGUACCAGUUCAGCUUAGAGAUAUCAAAAGCUAUCUAUCCUUCUUCAUCUCCAGGUUCGAUUGUAAGCACAAAAUGCGACACUGAAGUCUCAUCUUGGUGAAUGUCUGGGAGCUUGUGUUGGCUUAUCAGCUUGUGUCAACUCAGCCUAAAAAGAGAACUGGGUCUAACAUAGGAACGCCUGAAAACCGAUUCCAGUGAUGGAAAGCAAAAAUACAAGUCUGUUUCUGAGAGAGCUAAGUUUAACGUUCCAACCAGGGAGAUGUACUUCUACCCGGAACCCUAUACCAUCAUGGAGUUCUUUCCAAGGGAAUGCGUUGUCGACAGCACCGUCAUAUUAUUAGGACUUUACGGCUAAACCCUGUUACAUUAAUUCCAACACCCUGAGUUCUACCUGACAGUGGUUUUCGUUAGUGUGUAGCUCCCCAAUAUGAAUAAAUAUAAGCAUCAUAAAGAAUAUUCCCUUCCACAGCCUUUCUCUUCAGUUAAGUGGUCUCAAGAUCUCCUCAGAUUUUAAAAUCAAGUAUUAAGGAUUCUAUCUGGAAGAGAAUCCCUGGGAGCUGAGGCAGAAAUCCUGUGCUCUACAAUGAUGGUUGACAAAAAUGAGAUUUAUGAUGUUGGAAAGCCACGAGUCCUCCCUGUAUUUUUUUUCUCUGUAAAAUAUGAAAAAAAAUCUUGUCAGGCCCAUAAGAGUUGUUACAAGGUUUCCAAAAACAAAAAGUAUUUGAAAUGAAUUUGAAGCACAUUAUAUUAAAAGAUAUUACCAUUAUCAAAAUAAUUACUGUUUUUUGAUAGGAAGUUUCUCCAUCAGGGAAUCUCUACUGAAAAGACUAUAAGAAGUGACCUUGGAUAACCAAUGACAAAGCGUAUCUUAUAUACCAUUCUAAAAAGAUGCUCAAACAGCCAUGUUUCCACUUUCUAGAAAAUACAAUUUGACUAUUUAUUCAAACUCAAUCUUGCCCUUUACUCAUCUAAUCUUGAUAGGAUUGUUUAAUCUUGUGAAACUCUCACUUUCCAAACUUGAUUUUUUAAAAUUGGUAUUUUCUUAUUUAACAGCCCUCUCUUUCAGCCUUAUUUAUUAGUGUCCUUUUUUUUUUCUCCCACCCCCAACCAUGGGAGUGCCUAAUCUGAGUCCCUUGUCCCUUGCCUUCUCGGUCUAUACUCAUUUCCCUAGGUGAUUGCAUUUAGGAUUAUAAUUUCAAAUACCAUCAAACACUAAUAAAAGUUUAUCACACUCAAAUAUUUCUCUUCUCUUAAUUCAAUAUAACCAUAUUCAUUUGCCCACAGUACAUCUCCAGUUGAGUGGAUAACGGGCAACAUAAAACUAUUUUACUGAAUCUCUAAAGCUUCAUCCACUUCUCACGAACAUACACAGUCACCCUCACCUCAUUUGUUCAGUUUGCAUGACCUAAAAACCAGGGAGUUAUCUUUGAUUUCUUUCUCCCUCAACACCCACACACAUAUAUCCUCAGAAUUAAGUAGAAAUAUUGAUAAUACCUGAGUUUUAUUUCAGUGUUAGAAAAAAAAAUGAUAAAAAUGGUUUGCAAUGGACAGUAUUGCGGAAAAAUAAUGUUGUUCUCUACUUGUAUUCUACCAAGCCAAGCCUUCAAUAAACUCCAUGCGUAUGAAUCAAAUAGACAAUUGUUUGAUGUCUGACUAUAAAUGCUUAAAUGGAAGAAACAGCCUUUUGCUCACAACCCACAGUUAAUUUAUGCAAUAGACAUUUAUUGUUAAGAGACUGUUGUACACAUAUUAAUGGCCCAUCAAAGAUAUCAUGUCCUGAUCCCCCAAAUCUGUGAAUAUGUAACUCUACAUGGUAGAUGGGACUUUGCAGGUGUGAUUAAGUUAAGGAUCUUUUGAGGGAAAGAUUAUCCAGGUGGGCCUAAUACAAUCACAAUAGCCCUAAGAAGUGACAGACAGAAGGGUCAAAGUCACACGAGGAGGUGUGAUGAAAGAAGCAGGGGUUGAAAUGACAAGAAGGAGACAUGAGCCAAGGGAAUCCCUGGAAGCUGGGAAAGGCAAAGAAUCAGGUUCCAUCACCUUCAGAAGGAACACAGACCUUGAUUUUAGGACUCCUGAUCUUUAGAAACUUAAGAUAAUAAAUCCUUGUUUUUAGAACUGUGAAGGAAUAAAUUCAUAGUAUGUUAAGCCACUAAAUGUGUGAUAAUUUGUCACCACAAUAAAAAACAAAGAAACAAACAAAAAAUUACUAUUGAUUCUGUGUGAUGAGCCCAGUUCUAGGUGAUAGAAAUCCAUAGAUAAACAAAAUAGAGGACCCUGUUCGAUAUUUUGCUCUAGGCUUGACAUAAAUUCAAGUCUCUUUUUACAACAACUUUACAAGGCAGCUAUAAUUAGACCCUUUUAAUAGAUGAAGAGACCGAGAGUCAGACUAAUGUGUCACACAGCUAAUAGGUGAGCCACCUGUCUCCAGAGCCUGUGUUCUUUAUACUCAUUAUCCACUUUAUGUCUUCCAAACAAUGAGAGAAUACAUGGUAGUGUAACGUAGGAUUAUGCACGAAAGAGUCAUUUGCUGCCAUAUGGUUUGUUAGGCGAUUAUGGAGGGAGAUAGGAGAAAAGAAAGCAAGUAAAGAGAAGAGGCUUAAUUCGCAUCAAUACAUUUAUACAUCUGAAGAGUCAAAAUGGAACUCACAUAACACAAGAUGAAUCCAUCUAUGUACCCAAAUCCACUAAAAAAUAAAACAAAACUUUUCCAUUUUAUUGAAAUAUUCUUUGGUAGGUAACUGCCCACAGGCACUAAUUUCAGAUUUUUGUUUGUGUUUUCUAUGUGGCUUUUUAUGUAUGUUUCAAAAGACUAAGACAAAGCAGAAAUGAUGUCAUUACAACAUUUUUCUUAACACACUUAUCGCUAGUUAAGUAUUUGGGAAAUCAUUGUGUUAGAGUGGAUUUUAGUAAUUACUUAAGAGGCCAGUGAUAGAAUUCUCUCUUCUCAUCUCAAAUGCUUUCUCGGCAACCAUUUCCCCAUACUACUUACUUCACUUUUUCUUCUUACAUUUGCUGCUGGACGUAGGUUCCCAUUAUGAACCUGGCAAUUAAGGGGAUGCAUAUUUCUCUUUAUCAGCUUUGCCUAUAAACAGAAGACUAAUGAUAACUACUUUCAUUCUACUUCAAAGCUACUUUAAUUCAUGGAUAAAGUUCAUAUUACUUGAUAUUUAGUGAUAAAAACAUGUUAUAUGGACUGUGAAAUUUUUGUUACUUAAAAGGGAUAGAAAGAGCCUGGGAAUAUACAGAGGUGGGUCGGGUUUAUAGUCUCUGAAUGUAUUUAACAAAUGAGAAAAUUAUAAAGUGGUUCUCUGCAUUUUAUGGAAAAAAAUACUCAGAAAUUUUUACCUCUUCAUCUUGAAUAAGAAAGAAUAAUGCUUGAAUUGCGUUAAAAUUAUAGACACUGCUUUAUGUUAGGAGAUAUAAUUUUAACUAAUCUGGCUUUUUAUUUUAUUUUAUUCUUUUUUCAACAUUUUUAUUUAUUUUUGGGAUAGAGAGAGACAGAGCAUGAACAGGGGAGGGGCAGAGAGAGAGGGAGACACAGAAUCGGAAACAGGCUCCAGGCUCCGAGCCAUCAGCCCAGAGCCUGACGCGGGGCUCGAACUCACGGACCGCGAGAUCGUGACCUGGCUGAAGUCGGACGCUUAACCGACUGCGCCACCCAGGCGCCCCACUAAUCUGGCUUUUUAAAUAAUAGGAAAAUUUAAAAGGAAGGAUAAAAAUACAUUUAAAAAAGCUAUUUGUGGAUAAAAUAUAUUAAUACAUUUCCACUUGUGUUGAAUACAUAUUUUGGUCAAAAGCAAGUUGAGGAACCACAAGAUUCACAGAAGUUGCUCUUAGCCCUGGGCUCAUCUUUAUUAUUAUUAUUAUUGUUGUUGUUGUUGUUGUUACUGUUGUUAUUACUAAUUGGAAAACAUAUUUCUUAAAUAAUGAAGAAAAGUAUCCCUUCAUAAAGCAUGUCUUGCCUGAAGAUUCUUUGACUAGGGUGAAAACAAUGUUUUUUCAAGCUCAUUACUUCCUUUCCCUAAAAUAAUUCAUUUUAAAAAGUCAUUAGCCUAAUAGAAAGGAAUAGAUAGAGGGCCUGUAGGGAUUCUACUCUAAAUCUCAGGGAUUUGCCUCAUUAAAAGUCAAUUGCAGAACCAAAGCCUCAUCAUGUACGUGUGUAUAUGAGGGAGAGACAGUGAAAGAAAAGUAUGGAUAUAUAAAUCUUGCCCAAUUUUAUUUAAAUAUUUCUGAAAACUAAAAAUCAUUUUAAAUGAUAUUAACAAAGAAUUCUUCUUUGAGACAUUGAUAUUUUUCUAAACAAAAAUAUAGUGUUACUUCUGGGUGUUAUUGUUAUAAAUCUCCAAGAGCUAAGUCUCAUUAUGUCUCAUAGCCAGGUUAGAAAUUUCAUUUUCUAAUAGUUUCCUUAUAAAUUAAGCCUUAAAAUUGCCUCCAUUAUUUCUAUGACUCCACCACAAAUUCAGCAAUGAGCGAGCUUAAUAAAUUGGAAACAUUACCCUACGAUGUAUAUGUCAUGGAAAGAAAAUAAAUAUAUGCCGCCUGCGCAUUUAGUUUUUCAUUCUAAGAAAAAGAAAGGAGUUUGCCGAAAAUGGAAAGCUAAGAAUCUUGGAAAACGAUGGUAAUAACAUACCUAGCACUUUUUUAAGUACUUCUUUUCCCAUUAUCGUAAGCUAUGUAAACACCAGUGUGCUUGAUAACCUGGGCUUUAUAAGAAGCACUACCUGGAAGACAGUGAAAUAAUCGAUGUCUGUUUCCUCUCUCAUUGGAGUCUUGAUGAGCUAUGUUUCUAUCAACUGAUGUUACUUCCAAAGAUUUCAUGUCAGAGGACAAAGACCAUACGGACAAGGUCAUCCUUGACAGUAGACAAAGGAAAUGGCCACAAUGACAUAAUGAUGUCUACAGUUGUUUCAGAGAAACAAAAGUAAAAUCUGAGACGAACGUUGCCUUCUCUUGUACCUAGUGAAGCAGUUUUUUCAUUAAUGAAAGGAGGCAAUCUAUUCAAUGUCUUAGAACAUAUAUCUUGUCGGGGGCGCCUGGGUGGCUCAGUAGGUUAAGCAUCUGACUGUUGAUUUUUGCUCAGGUCAUGACCUCACAGUUCGCGAGUUUGAGCCCCACCUCAGGCUCUGUACUGACAGUGCAGAGCCUGCUUGGGAUUAUCUCCCUUUCCCUCUGCCCCUCCCCUGCUCGUUUUCUCUCUCUCUCUCUCUCUCUCUCUCUCUCUCCUUCUAAAGAAAUUAGCAAUACUUAAAAAAAGUUUCAAAAAGAAUACAUGUCUUGGGUAUUGCCAUUAUUUCCUUCUUCUGGCUAUUUCUUCUGAAAUUAUCUUUUACCAAUGAAAUGUUGAAUAUAUAAGAUGCUAUGACAGAUAUUGCUUUCUUCUUUAGGUUCAAAAGCAGCAGUUGGGUUUGUAGGGCACACAUCAGUUGAAAACAUGUCAUAGAGUCAAAGGCACUAGUUGAAUCUCAGAGCUAGAAUCAAAAGCUGAUAUAUAAAUGACAUGUCCAUAACAUUGGAGGAUCAGGCCCGCAAGGAACUUAAAAUGUGGGGAAUAGAUAGAUAGGUAGAUAGAUAGAUGGAAAGAUAUUCUGACAUGACAAUAUCCCAAUAAUGGCUAAGAACAUAGUCCACGAUAUGUAGAUAUAGAUAUAGAUAUAGAUAUAGAUAUAGAUAUAGAUAUAGAUAGAUAUAGAUACACAAAAUAUAUAUAUUUACUGCUUAUAUUAUUUGUAAAUCCCUUCUGAUUCAGUGAUCAUUCUCGGGAAAACUACCUGAAUAAUCUAAUACUAGGUAAAUUGCAACAGGGCACCCAGAGAUUCUUACCAAUCAUUUUUUUAAAAACAAAUUUUUGAAGUAACUAUCAAUUACUCAAAAAUAUACAGAGGGAAAAAUAAGGAGUGUAAGUGACUUACCCAAAUUGAGCUAGGACAUGGAAAAAUGCAAAAGUUUUUUGGUUUCAUGGCAGGUCCUUACAGUGUUUCUUGUCCUCUUAAUUAUGUGAAUGUAUUUAGGGAAAAUAACGUAGUAGUAGGGGUUAAAUAAAAGUCUCAUAAACAGAACAAGGCACCUUUAAACGUGCAGGCUUUUUACAAAUACAUUAUUAUAGGAAUUCUCAGGAGACAGACUCUCAAAUUGCGCUGACUCAAGUUCAGGAUCCAUGAUACGAUUUGUUUCCACCACCUUAAUCCGACUGACAAUGCUUUAUGUUCUGUUUUGAGUUUUUAUUUUAGUAACUCUCCUGAAAUAAAUCUGAAAAUAGAAAGCAGCAAAACCCUGAUUAAGCAUGUCUACAAUGUAGGAGUGCCCUGAAUUUGUAUGGAACAGGGAAACUAUUUCUAUCUUUGAAAUUUUCUGAGUAUAUUCGGUUCAAUUCAGAAUACAAUUCAGUUCAGGGCGCCUGGGUGGCUCAGUCGGUUGAGCGUCCGCCUUCGGUUCUGGUCCCGAUCUCACUGUUCUUGAGGCUGUGAGUUAGAGCCUCCUGUGGGGCUCUGUGCUGACAGCUCGGAGCCUGGAGCCUGCUUCGGAUUCUGUGUCUGCCUCUCCCUCCGACCCCUCCCGCGCUUGUGCACUCUCUCUCUCUCUCAUUUCAAGAAUAAAUAAGCAUUUUUUUUUUAAUUCACUAGUUACUGGGGCACCUGGGUGGCUCAGUCGGUUAAGCGUCUGACUUUGGCUUAGGUCAUGAUCUCACGAGCCGUGAGAUCGAGCCCCAUGUCGGGCUCUGCAGAGCCUGCAGCCUGCUUUGGAUUCUGUGUCACCCUCUCUCUCUGCCCCUCUCCUGCUCAUGCUUUUUCUCUCUCUGUCAAAAAUAAACAAAAAUUAAAAAAAAAAAUUAAAAAAGAAGAGUCUUUCAUUUAAUAGAUGAUCAUUAAAUCACUGUUGGGACAAAAAAUACCCUUUUACUUAAUUUUUUAUUUCUUCAAAUGUAAUUUAUUGUCAAGUUACCUAACCUACAGUAUAUACAGUGUGCUCUUGGCUUCGGGAGCAGAUUCCCAUGAUUCAUCACUUACAUACAACACCCAGGGCUCAUUCCAACAAGUGUCCUCCUCAAUGCCCAUCACCCAUUUCCCCCCUACCCCACACCCACCCCCUAUCAACCUUCAGUUUGUUCUCUGCACUUAAGAGUCUCUUAUGGUUUACCUCCCUCUCUGUUUGAAACUAUGUUUCCUCUUCCCUUCCCCAACCUUUUAAAUGUGCAAAGCACUUAUCCCUUCAUUGUUAUAAUGAUAAAAAUAAUUUAAUUUAGUUUUAGACAGCUUUCAGUUCAAAAAGGAGAGAAAGAACUUGGAAGUUGGCCUGUUUGUGCUUGGUUAAUAUAUGUAUGUCCUAUCCUAAAGAAAUCUGAUCUCACUUCAAUAUUUGCAGAAAGAUAUGCCAUUUAUUAAAAACGCAGGGGCAGUCAUUUUAUUGCAAGUGUUCUUUGCGUAACAAAAUAGAUCCAUUCAGCAAAUAUUUAUGGAGCAUCUUCUGAGCUCCGGGCAAUGAAAGAGAUAGAGGAGAUUCAGAAAUGAAUAGGAUAAACUGAAUUUCUUUAAGAAACUCAUAAUCCUAUGUGAGAGGUAUACAUUGGAAACACUGCAAUACAAAUUCCACUCAUGUAACAGAAUUUUAGUACAAUUUUAUAGGGACAUUGAAGAAAGAGCGAUUAACUCUGACAGAGAAGCCUUGGAAAAAUCUUCACAAAAACGUUUACAUUUCCAGUGGGUAUAAAGGGAAAACAGAUGAUUUAAAGGCAAAGAAGUAGCUGAAAACCCCUGAAGAAUGUAUCUUGGAGCAGUGAAUUCAUUGGAUAUUUGCAUGUGAUUCCCUUUAUGAAAUAAAAUACCAAUGGCAACACAAAAUUCCAUCUUAGUGAUAUUGUAAGUAAGGUAAACAUUUUUCCGGUUUUGGUUUAGAGAAUCAUUAAGUAACAUUGGUGUUUACCCAUGUCUAUUUACAUACUGAUCCAUCAGGACAAAGGAGGAAAGGACUGGAACAUAAUCUUCUCUGACGCUAAUGUUUCUUACUGGUGCGGUUAUUGACAUAUUAGGCGGGAAAAUUGUGUUUUGUAGGAUAUUUCAUAUCCAUGGAUCUCAGAUGCUACGUACAGGUCAUAUACUCCAGUUACUUUGCAACAAAAACACAUUUUUACAGUUUCAAUAUACAAAAUGAGUGUGAAGGAAUGGGUGCUUAUGGCACCUUGUUGAGAAAACUGAAAACCCAUAACAUGGUUUGGUAAAACCUUGGGUCCAUAUAACAACCCUAUGUUACCUGCUCUCUGGAGAAAAGUCCUCGAAAUUCUUCACGCAACUUUUUAAGUUUUCCUAAUAUGUGUCUGGUAAGGCUAUACUUCUGAAGGCCUAACUAUCACCAUUCUUUUACAGGGAGUUGUCUUAAGAGACAAAACGUGACAAGGAGAAGGAGGAGGAAAUGGAGGAGGAAGAGGAGAAAGUUCCAACCCCUUACUUUUAGGAAACAAAACUAAUCUCAUCGUGCUUUGCAUCCUAAUUUAUCUUGGUCAAACCCAUGAAUUAUAAGAAAACUUCAAAAUCCCCCUCUUUAACACAUUCGAUUCCCAUAUGGUUUUGGAUCUACCCUAAUCUCCCCCAUUGUCCCACUUCGCUGACCUCCUUCUGGGAAUUCCGUCCAUGACUGUUUCACCGUCUGUGGCUUUGAUGAAAACAUUGCACGUCUCCUCACAUGACUUCUAUUUCCUAGCCCGUCUCUGUGAAUGUAAUCCUGCACAUCGUUCCCACUCCCUUUCUCCUUUGUCCCUCUCCAGUAGAUGAGCCUCACAUAAUCCAAAUCCCUGUUAGACCUGGC
RNAcentral lists this long non-coding RNA (33066 nucleotides) under Lynx pardinus (Iberian lynx). The record is from RNAcentral. Lineage: Eukaryota; Metazoa; Chordata; Mammalia; Carnivora; Felidae.